AAGACAAGAAAUUGAUGAACGACAUUAAAACGUGUAUUCCAGAAAAGGUUUUGAACUGGUGGUACGCAACGUGCAUUGCUCUCCUUUAAAAGGACAGACCUGGAUGGUGAGAUGACGUCAGGGGGUGGAAUUUCAAUAUGGAGCCUGGGGCAGACGGGGAAAGCGGAGUUUUCAAUGGAAAUCUUGUGAAGUGUUGAGAUAAUGGGCCAGCCAAACAGGAAUACCAAACACAGUUUUUAGGUUUCAGUUUUAAUGCAUAGUUAUUAACUACAGUGUUUCUAAACUACGUUAUAUUUGCGAAACAGUUAAUUAGCAUUAGGAUAACCAUUUCGUUGGAAAAGCAAAUCAGAACUAAGGAAAUAACUUUUCUUGUCCACGGCUCGCUGUUUGUCAAAUGUCUGGUAUUUGUUGUAAUGCUUUUUGUGAAAACCGAGCACAAAGAAUAUAACAUAACUUAAAUCCUGUGUUUUUUUAGUAAUCAAAAAAAAAAAAAAAGAAAGAAAGAAACGCGGUGUUAAGAAAGUUUGACUCGGUUUGACUGGAGUUGGUGUGUUUAUCUUGGUAUGACUGCAGCUGUCCUUGAAUAAGAGAUUUCCACGAUUUGGAAUCCCCCGGAACAGCGUUAAAGAUAGUGGAAUGGAAAAGACUAGUCCCUUUCUCCUGGCAAACAAAGAAGGAUGUCGAGACGCCCUGCCUGCCUGCUCUACGCCGCACAGAUAAAACAUUCAUGAACAAUGCAAGGAAACCCCUAAUGUUUGUAGGACAAGAAUCUGCAAAAUGAAAGAAACAGAAGAAUUUAUUAUUUCAAAAGACUUUGUGAGUUAUAACUGAAAUUACACGUUGCGCUAGGUCGACAAGGACUUAAUCAUCGCACUGGAAUCGUCGGUGCAUUUUUAUUCUUGCAGGUUGUCUGCAAUGUGGACGCUUAUUUUAUUAAUAAUUAAGUAGUGUUUAUUUGUUUACCCCCCCCCCCCCCCCA
Acipenser ruthenus (sterlet) is the source of this 979-nucleotide long non-coding RNA. RefSeq lists it as uncharacterized. The record is from RefSeq and is a predicted model, not a curated record. NCBI's taxonomy places the organism in Eukaryota, Metazoa, Chordata, Actinopteri, Acipenseriformes, Acipenseridae. The transcript is spliced from 2 exons.